Molecule: transfer-messenger RNA, 345 nt
Filed under: Bariatricus massiliensis
Lineage: Bacteria; Bacillati; Bacillota; Clostridia; Lachnospirales; Lachnospiraceae
Rfam family: transfer-messenger RNA
About the family: Bacterial tmRNA, also known as 10Sa RNA or SsrA, is named for its dual tRNA and mRNA-like properties.
Source: RNAcentral
GGGCUUGUACUGGUUUCGACGGGGGUUUAGAAGUUAGAGAAGCUAUCCGCGGGGCGGGACCGCGUAUCAAUCCGUAACUAAAUAUAAACGCAGACGAAAAUUUAGCGUACGCUGCCUAGUGGCAGCAGUCGGCCUUAAGUCACUCAUCGCUUAAGUCACCGGCUUCAAACAGAUGAGGCACUUCGUUUCCAAAGCUUUGAGGGAAUGGAAGAAUUGAUGAAGCUACUAAAAUCAGCAGCCUGUCAUUAGGCGUCUGACGGAGGGAAUGUCAAAGUAAUGACUGUGAUAGGAGAAGCUUUAAUGGAAGAGCUUUCGGACAGGGGUUCGACUCCCCUCAGGUCCACU